CCUACGGGAGGCAGCAGUGAGGAAUAUUGGUCAAUGGACGAGAGUCUGAACCAGCCAAGUAGCGUGAAGGAUGACUGCCCUAUGGGUUGUAAACUUCUUUUAUAUGGGAAUAAAAUGUUCCACGUGUGGGAUUUUGUAUGUACCAUAUGAAUAAGGAUCGGCGAACUCCGUGCCAGCAGCCGCGGUUAUACGGAGGAUCCGAGCGUUAUCCGGAUUUAUUGGGUUUAAAGGGAGCGUAGGUGGAUUGUUAAGUCAGUUGUGAAAGUUUGCGGCUCAACCGUAAAAGUGCAGUUGAAACUGGCAGUCUUGAGUACAGUAGAGGUGGGCGGAAUUCGUGGUGUAGCGGUGAAAUGCUUAGAUAUCACGAAGAACUCCGAUGGCGAAGGCAGUUCACUGGACUGCAACUGACACUGAGGCUCGAAAGUGUGGGUAUCAAACAGGAUUAGAUACCCUUGUAGUC
Molecule: ribosomal RNA, 460 nt
Filed under: uncultured bacterium
Lineage: Bacteria
Description: partial 16S ribosomal RNA
Rfam family: Bacterial small subunit ribosomal RNA
Source: RNAcentral